CUUUAAAACUAAGAUCCACGUACUCGCCUCCAAAAAGCUUUCUGGGAACAGCAGGUUGAGUUGGGAGCCCCCAUCUGUGCCUCAGUGGGCAAACCAGGUAUUGAAGGAUGUGCUUCACCAAUAUGUGGAAGUAAACCAAGGAAAUGGGAAAUAAUAGAUAUAACUGGAAACAGAUUUGACACAGGAGAGAAAAAGGGGGUCUCUCUAGGACACUGAUGGAAGAUGAUAGCUGUAAACCAACACAGACUGAAGCAGAUUAAGAUACCAGGAUUUCUACACAAAAAUAUUUCCCAUGCUGAUCAAGUGUCUUCACUUCAUUUUAGUGCAAUGCCUAAAAUUCCUGCCAUCUUUACUGUGAAUAAAUGGACUGCUCAACUUUUCUCAUCAA
Long non-coding RNA from Myotis brandtii (Brandt's bat), 388 nucleotides. RefSeq lists it as uncharacterized. The transcript has 2 exons. The record is from RefSeq and is a predicted model, not a curated record. NCBI's taxonomy places the organism in Eukaryota, Metazoa, Chordata, Mammalia, Chiroptera, Vespertilionidae.